GGUCUCACCAGGAACUGCAGCCGCUGCCGCUCCGACUCGGGAGUGAACUCUGUGGACAUGGGGAUGACCUCUCCCGCCCGGAUAAUGACGGCCCUGAGAGGAGAGAGCAGACGCACUGGGAUGACCUUGUUGAUGGUGCGGUGGAGGCCACGCUUUUGUUGGAUUCAAGUACUACUUUACAUCAGCGUCGAGCUUUGUUUUAACUGCUGACUCACCAUCUCAGCUUCACAGCAGCACAGCUGGAACCUAUCUGGUAAUCAAGCUUCACUGAUUUUAACGCCUCGGUUUCAGACUGUGUUGCCACAUGGUUACUUCACCUCCACCGGUUUUUUACCGCCUCUGCGUGUUUUCCUCGCUCGACGUUUUGGUUGUGACGUCCUUGGUUUUGUUUCCUGUAUGUGUCCUGUUUUUCUGUGUAUUUAUAUGAAACCUUCUGUUAAACAUAUCCUCGUGGUGUGGAGCACCAGGAGCGAUUUUAGUGUUUGUGUCUGUUCCCCUGAGCCGCCAUGACACUUUCUUGACUUCUUUGUCUGGGCUGGAUGGUUUGGGGUUAUUCUGAGGUUGGCGCCUUCACGCGACCAGUCGACCCCUGUGGCAUCAGCCUCUGUGGCUGCGGUGGGAGCAGCACAAAUGCAUGUGAUGGGUCAUGUGACCGCGGAUCAUGUGCCUUGUCUUCUGUUAACACAAGCUGUGAUUAAAUCUUCAGACAGACUUUGUUGGCUUGUUGGUGCGAUGAAACCGCUUUUGAUUUAAAAAGAUGAAAUCACUUUAUUGACUGGAUGGCACGUCAGCUAUGUUAGCAGUCACAGAAAUCAGUGAUGAGCUACGUGGUCCUUGUUAGCACCAUUGUCUGGAGCCCUGGAGAUUUGCAGUCUGACUGUGCCGUCAGCCAAUCGGGUGGUUGCUCUCCUGGCAAUAUGGAAGUUAAUCUCUGAGGAAUGUUUCCUUCUCGAAUCGAGGCUAUUACGGGACCAAAUCUAAGCUCCCAGGGUCUGAUGUUAACGCAGAGGUGGUUCUAUCUGAACCCAUCUUCCGUCGAGGGGAAGUCAGAAUGAGCAUGAUGCCGUCAGAUGAUGGUGCUCACUGGACCCGACAGAACCAACCAUCCACCCACAGAUCAGCAUCAAACUCUCCUCUCAGGAAAUCACCCUUCCCAUCUGAGCGACCUACUUGUUGACGCGUGGGAUUAUGAAGGAGGGAAAAAAAAGGAGUUCAGUGACUGAGUGACUAAUCCAGAGUCUUCCACUCUGUGUUUCGCUGACACGCUGUCGUUAAUCAUCCGUCAACAUUCUCCGUCAGAAAUGAUGAUUUUCAGUUGAAUUGGCUUUGCAGAUUUAGGUGAAGAAAUAAGGCCCUCGCUGCAGGCAGCAGGGCGUCGCAGGGCGGGACCCACUCCAGCUUGAGUGAACCCAUGUCCUUCUUCUGCAGGCUUUGCUUGUCCUCUUCAUGCUAGCAUGGGUUUCCUCUGGCACUCUGGUUUCCUCCCACACUUCAAACAAUUGAUGACUCACAGGUGUGAGUAGAUAUCUCUCAAUACAAUACAAUGUCUUGUCCAUAGUCCUGUCCAGGGCGUCCCUCUCCCCUGACCACAUGGAGCUACAACCCCAUAAUAAUAUUUUAUAUCCAGUAAAUAAUACAGAUUACUGGCUUUAUUUAAAUAAGUGUUAAUUUUUUUUUUUUUUUUUAAAGCACAAUUUUGAAAAUACGGCAAGAAGAAAAUAAUAUAUAUUUGCAGUAUAUGAGGAGAAAGGAAAUGCUCCAAAAUUUGUUUUUUUGAAGUACAUUUACAAAAAUAAAAGGGAAACAAAUGCUUCAGGAGUCCAUAAAUUACCCAUAACAAAUACGAUACCAGAAGAGUAAAUAAACAUGGGAAAAAAUAUUAGGGAUGAAUAACGGAUAAGUAUUAUGUGGGUAAAAUUAAUACCAAAAAAUGUAAUAUUCUAAAUCUUUAAUACAUAUUGUACAUGAGAAGAAAAAAAUCAAAAUAGAGAAGGAUGAAGAGCAGAAAUUAAACUAGAAAUAAUAUUCAUAAUUUUGAGAAUCAGAAUGCUGCAUCUGGGACCUGACCUUCAAUAAGCAGAAGAACAUGGACGGUGGAGGACAGCGCUCUAAUCGUACUAUGAUCAAAAUAUAAGGAAGAAAGCUUAUGCCAAAAUAUGCAUACAAGACUAUUAUGAAGCUAUCAACAGGUACUGACCACUGCAGAAAGCACAAGCACUUCAUGAACACAGGACUCAAAGGUCAUGGGGUCACAUAUCACCGGCCUGUAAAGGCCAGAGCAGAUCUAACAUCCUCCUAAAGCAUUUGGUCAAAAUGAGAAAAUUGGAAAUGACAUGACCGAGAGAGGGUCAAAAGAGCAAAGUGAAGCUGGGCUCUAAUCCUGCUCUGAUGGUGCGCGACCUUGCUGACCUGCCUGAGUGGAUCUAUAUGGCCCUCAUCAUCAGGGACGCAGGCUUUCUUCCUCCAGCCAUGAGAUUUCACUCCGCGCGCUGGACGGCCAGCUGCUGCCCAAUCCAGGGAGUGGCUCAGUCAGCGCUGGUGCACUGCUGGUGCAGGAGACACCCAAUCUGACGGCCGGCACCCAGACAAUGAUCUGACAUCGGUUCACAGCUCUGCAGGCUCCGUGUAUCAGUGGGGGAUGGUGGAGGCAAAUUACCAUACUGCACGGAGAUUAAGAAUUAUUCACAGCAGAUUAGCAGUUUGCAUCACUCUGACGUCAGUUAUACUGAGAGACACAAUGUGAAGGAGCCACAUAAUGAACCUCCGUCACCAACAUUGUAACUGGAUUAUUUCUACGCAGACCAAGCGAAUACAUUAUGACAUUAGGAUGCAAUAGCACAUUGGUCCCAAUGUUUCCUGCAACUCAGCUAAAUAUUCACAUAACAUAAUGGUUGCGCAGAGGACAGUCGUGUUCAAUCGUACCAGUAGAACGUAAGAAACAUAACUACAUGACAUACAUAAGUAACUGCCAACGUCAUCAAACUAAGGGCUACACUCCAGAAACACAGUAUUUAGUGUUUAUAAGCCAUUUAUUUGUGGAUUUAUGAAGCGUUUCCUGCAGCACUGCAUAUUUAAGACUUGAGCAACUUGGAACCACAACAACGUGAACUGCUGAGAUUCUUGCGUUCAAAGUACCGUAAAUUCCGGACUACAGAGCCAACGGAAUAUUAGCCCCACCCACUAAAUUUAAGAAGGAAAAUAGAUCUUGUUCAUACAGAAGUCGCAGGGGUCUACAGGCCGCAGGUGCAGUGGUGCUGUCUGCAUCGUAGAAAGGUCAGUGGUGCACCAGGCUUAAAAAUGCAAGAGGACCACUUCUAAGCUCGUAUGGAAAAUGGGCUCCAGCAUGAAGACUGACUCAUGAAACAAACUGGGCAAUGUUCUGCACUUGAAUCAUCAACUCCCCACAUCUUUUAUUGACAUUAAAGCGCUUAUAAUGUGCUGUUUUCACCCAUGUGUCCCAUGUUCCGACACCACAGUUGGUCUCAGCUGCUGCUUCUCGUCUCCGCUCCUCCAGGAGAUCGGCUCUGCGGGUGGAGCUGCGGACACGCGCGCAAAAACAGCGCAUUUAAGCGCUUCAAGGUUAGUAACACGCCAGCGAUUUCAUGGGUUUGAUGUGACGAGGAUCAAUAUUUUCGCAGCAUGAUGCUCUUUAGCCUGUAAAAAUCCAUAUAUUAGUAUUGUAUAGGCUACGGGGUUCAAAAAAGUAGUGACUUAUAGUCCGGAAAUUAGGGUAGAAUUAAAAAUCAUGAACUAUGGUCCUCCACACUCUGCUUUGGUAUCAGUGAUUCACUUCCACAAAGUGAUCAGAUCAGUUAAUAGAAAACAUCACCUUACUGUAUCUCACAGUUUACACUUAAGUUUACUUCGGGGCUCUAAAAAUCAAUAUGGUCUUCAUAAACAAAAUAUAUGACAAUCUGUUAUAAGGAAAAGAAAAUAUGAGAACCUUUUCUUCUCUCUGCUCCUUUCUGAUCCCUAAAAUUACGAUGAGAUGAAAGAGUUUGUUUGAUGUGGGAUUGAACUUCUACUACUAUUACUAAUAUGCAACAAUCAAGGAGAUUACUGCAUCAAUGCGGUGCAAAAAAUCUACUUGACAAUAUGUCCAAAAAUUGCCAUUGGAAAUAGCAACACAAACAUCUUUGCAAACCACACAAUGCUGUUGCCACUUAUUUUUUCUACGGCAGAUUAUCUGGUGGAAGCGGCAGAGUAGAAUCCAUUAUUCGGGUGUGAGCCUUGAUGAGUAGAACACACCGUCACUUCUCGGAAUUCCUUCCAUUCCUAGCGCUCGAUUAUCAUUUGAACCAAAGUAAGGACACGAGAUGAUCUCUCAGUGCCUGCACUGAUGGACUCUCACGUGCUCUCGUGACUCUUAUCAUCUCUUUAGUGAAUUUCCAUGCACAUUAGAAGGGCCUUCCUCCAGGCUCAUGUGCGACUUGCUGGAUUCCAUCGCAGCCCAUUUUAGCUUGCAUUUUCCACAUGAAUCCAACAGCCAAGAACGCACGUCGGUCUGCUACGUUGGUGAGAGCCAGGCCCUUUUCUCUGGAGGUCAACGGUCAGUCCUUGAUGCGAUCCUCGCUGUGCAGACCAUGACACGAGGAUUAGAGGGAUAAAUUGUGAAAGUCAGAGAGAUGGGUUAGUGUGUCGCUGCUCACUCUUGGAGCAAAGUCUUAUCUGUGCUGAGAAGAUAUUGGGAAUAGCUCUUAUUAAAGCAUCCUCCAAAGGUCUGAGGAGCACUUACAAAGAGGACAUUUAAGACAGUUAAUCAUAUCACAAUAUCUAAUGUUCAUGUGAUUAAACCGGUGACUCAUUUACUUUAAAGUCGACGGUUGAAUAUAAAAGAGGAAAUUGAAUUUUCUUUUUAAGUAGAUGAAUUAGCUAAUGCAUUUGAGGUGACUUUGUGGCGUCAUUGCAGGAGCUUCAGCUUCCAGGUCCCGUCCACCGUGAUGCCACUGUCUGGAUAGGUCGAUACGUAGUUGCAUACAUAAGACAAAUGGUAUCUCUUCCAAGUUACAGACUUAUCUACCAUGCCUAACCCCCAGUUUUUAUAGUAAAUCUAGAUAAAUUAACCACCAACAAUGGGAUUAAUCGCAAGAAAACGAUUCGCACUGUCAAGUCAACAACAUCAAAUGACAGACAGACAGACUCCAUAUGUGUAGUGAUGGGAAGAUGUGGUAGCAACAAAAAAAAAACGUUGUUAGUCUGGAAUCUGACAACAAUUCUGAAUGCAAGACUUCUUUUUCAGUUUCAAAAUGCAACUUAGAUAGCAACAGAAGAUCAUUAUUAUUACUUAUGACUGUGUAAUAUUUUUGUCAAAUGAAUGCUAACAUGCUACAGUAUCUUAUCUACUCUUAAACAAUAGUGAUAAAUGUGAUAUUGUGUUGCAUCUCUUGUAUGUUGUGCUGAAGACACCCACUUCAAUACUCAUAACUUUGCAGUGUUGUCUGUGGUGACUCAAAGCUGUGUUAUCACUCACGCCAUGGCAAAGGAGGGACUUCAUUUUCAUUCACUUCUGUUUUCAUCCUCUGUUUCUAAUCUAUCUAUCUAUCUAUCUAUCUAUCUGUCUGUCUGUCUGUCUGUCUAUCUAUCUAUCUAUCUAUCUAUCUGACUGGAGUCACUGCACUUUCUUUAUUAUUAUUAUUAUUAUUAUUAGUAGUAGUAGUAGUAGUUGUAGUAGUGCCAGUACUAGUAGUAGGAGGAGGAGGAGGAGGAGGAGUUGUAGUAGUAGUAGUAGCGUUGUGUGUACAAUGUUCUUCUAUCGUAUUCAUUUCUAUUGUUUGUUUAUUUGUUUUACUCAGCAAUAUGUGGCGGCUUUAUGUAAAUUUACAUUUAUGUAAAUGUACAUGUCUAAUGUCUCGUGUUUGUCUCUGUUUUCUGCUGUGACAAGUCAAAUUUCCAUUAUAUUGGGGAGAAAAAAGGCUAUCUAACUGAUGCUAUUUGUCAAACUGUACCAGAGGUUUAGAUGGUACAGUUAGCUUCAACUAAAAUUCAACUUUAAGAACACCAUCAAUACAUUUUGAUACCAUCUGGACCCUUCAUCAGGCUGUUGGCAAGUGGACGUGUUAAGUCCAAAACUAUUGGAGACGCUCAAGAGGACUGCAUUUUUUAGGUUCAAGGACGUAACACACGCCGUAAGAUGGAGAUCAGAGAUGCUUAAACUCAUCCUCAUCUAGUCGGAUAUUGACAAGUGUUCAGACCGCAUUACCAAUUGUAGACUGCAAUAGAGUGAUCAAUACUCUGCUUUAGAAAGUCUGCAGAGUUGAGUGAAGCAACUGAUGCGUCAAUAAACUCAACCUCAUCCACGUUAGUAGUAGCAGCAACGCCAGAAUAAACUGCACUCUCUUCAGCGCCUCCAACAUGCUGCGCAUAACACGCAUAUCUACAUCCAUUUGAGUUGUGUUUCCCACACGGAAUAUGGACUCCUGGCUGACAGUGGAGCAGUUUCCAUGUCUGACUCUGAAAUAACAGACCCCGGCGAGUGUUGCGUUCGCGGUCCGGGAUGGAGGCUCCGCGUCAGGGAUGCUGAGGGUCGGAGAAGAUGGACGAACAGGUUACUCACUCAGCGUAUCCGGUGGCCCAGGGCAGCCGCUUGCUCUCCUUCAGGAUCAGGAUGGGUCUGGCGACGUGGUCCGCCGAGCACUCCACCUCGUCCGGUGACAGCCCCAGGAACUCCGGGCGGCUGUAGGGAAAUUUCAGCGGCGUCUCCGCGCCGCAGUGGUGGUGGUGGUGGUCCCCGUUGGAGCCCGCGGGUAUCACGCCACCCAUGAAACUGGCCACCGCCGACCUGACGCGGGUGAGCAUGGCGGAGCUGCGGCGGCGGAGCUCCGGGAGGGGAGGCGGGCUGCUGCGGACUCUCUGCCCGCGAGGAGACGCUGCUUCGCGGCGUGAACGAAACAAACACAGCAGCGACUCAUUCAGUCUGAGAACACGGAAAUAGGAGCCUCACUUCGCUCGCACACGCGCGCGCGGUCAUGUGACAAACCGGUUGCUGCCGGUGGGCUGGCUGGUGGCACGCGCGCGGCUGAACCGUUGCCAGGGGUCAAAGGCGACCUGUCUGCCUUUUUCACCGCCGUUAUCAACAUAUUUGUGAGAUUAAAAAAAAACACCAUUAACCCGUGAAGUCAGGGAUGAGGAUCAGCACCUCCUAAACACAGCAGGUUUGGCACAUGGUGAGUUGUUUCAAGCGAAAUAUUCCUCUUUAAUGACAUGGUUUCAGGUUUCAUGGUUUCAAGGGACAAGAUGGCGGAGAGUUUGGGACGGGAGUGUUUUGACUUCGCCACGACAUCAUCACUGUACGAAGUACGAUGAAGCCCACUACUGCUAUUCGCGCUGUACUUUCUCCUAUGCUUUAUUUUCAUAUUCCCGCUGUCUCCAUCACUGCUGUGACUGUGCCGCCAUCUUGUUCCGGACACGACUAGCAGGGUUCUAGCCAGGACCUUUCCCAACAUAAGAUUGGAGAGUGGGGGCAGCAAAGAGUCAAACGUUGACAACAGGGGACACAAAAGUAAACUGCAGCGUCCAUCCUUCACGGCCCCCCUUAAGGCCCUACCUUAAAAGGCGGAGUCUUACGCAACUGAAAUCCUAACACGGGGGGGCGCUGUGCUGCUAAAGCACUGGGGAGAACCCUGAAGAGUAUGUGCUGACAGAAAAAUCUCAUUUCACUGCUUCUGCGCAUCUUAACUUUCUGUCUCACUAUACUCCAAACUUCGAUAGAAACAAGCCCACAAAUAGUGCUCAGUGACAAAUAACAGGCGACCGCCACCUGCUGGUGUAAAGCAGUAACUAGAUCAGGCGCCAUAUUUGCAGCGUGGCUUGUUUAAAUGUAACCUUGGUGCCUACAGGGUUAGCAUGAUGACACUGGUCAACUGAACAACAUGUUGUUUAAAAAACAACUGAGCCAUCUUUUUUUUUUACUAAUUUUCAAUGUAUCCUAAUGUCCCAGUUAGUGCUAGCUAUUUCUUACUUUCAUCUUCUUCAAAUGGAAAACUAGCAUUGUACUGCUUGGUUGAUAGAAUCUCUAAAAUGCUAAUACACUGAUGCAAAUGCUAAUUAUGCUAAUAUGCAGCUGGUUGUGAGAAUCCCGCUUCAUGUCAUGUGAAACCUCCUGUGAGCUGUUGUUUGGUGUGUGUGUGUUUUAGCUCCAGUGAGGGUGAAGAAAACCCAGUGUUUACAACUUCACAGGAGCUGUCUUUGCUAGGAGGUGGUUUAUCAACUGUUAAUCCCACAGAGAUGUUUUAAUGCUAUUUGAAGCCUUCACACACUUCAUUGGGAAAAAUGUCCAGAGCAUGUUUUACUUUCAUCCUUAGUGGCAUUUCAGCCAUCUUGUUUUCACUGAAAUGUCUUGCUGACUCAUAAAGAAUUAAAAAAUACAGGUCUCACUCAGGUGGUGAAUCUGAGGCCAUGGUUCUCAGAGAACUUGUGGCCAAGCAUCCAAGCCUCAUGCUUGUCAACGCUCUAUUACAGCGUUAUGACGAAUGAAAUUGGAUUUUUAAUUUGUCCUUCUGAACUGCAUGGCUUCAAUUGUUUUGAUUCUAGUUUAAGGAUUCAUAAUAAUAAACUUAAUGAAAACUGCACUUCAUCAUUAUCCAGUGUUUAUAGAUAAAGAAUUGUGAUGACAAAAUCGCUGUUUUAUUUGGCACUUUUCAGGCAGUAAUUCACAAAGUGCUUUACAUUAGUAUUAAAAUCAACACAAAGAAUGAAAAAUGCAUUUUUAAAUGCAAAUUAAAAGAAGGCACCGACUCAGAUAGUCCAUGGGGGGGGGGUUGCUUGCAACUUACAGACUGUAAACAUUCUAUUCUUUAAGUCAAUAUUUACUUCAUGUUGUGUGUGACGCAUGCUGCUGCCAGUAGUUUCAGUGUUUACUUUCUGUAUGGGAAGCAUUUGGCCAGUCUGUUUUACAGUUUACUGUUUUCUGUUUACCUCAAGCUACCAGUGCCAUGAUGUCAAAACAUAACAUAAGCUUUAGAGUUCAUGGGUGAGUCAACUGCUGUGGCUUUUUGUGGCUUCUUAUAUUGUAUGUCCUUCGCAGACGUAUUAUAUUGGUCAUAGUUAGAACAGGGGUGGGCAAUGACGUUUCCUCAGGGACCUAAGGCAAUUUAUUUCAAAACAUAGUUUCAAUAUGCCUUCAAUGUAUUUUGAGGAACAAGAAAAACACACAAAAAUAAAAGAAAGUCCUAGUCUUAAAACAAAAACGUGCUAUAUUUACUGCUGAAGUGGUGGUGGUGACUAAAAACGAAAGAACAAAAAAGGAAGAAAAAUGACAACACAUCAUUUAUAGUUUCAGUGUGACGUAAAAAUGGCCACGAAAAUACAGGCAUCGGACCGCAUAUGGCCCCCGGGCCACGCUUUGCCCAGGUCUGGUCAAGACACAGAGUCGAGUGAGUGACUCGACAGCGCGGGAGUUGGAGAUGACCUCAUCAACUUAUCUGAAGGUGCGAGUGGUUGUCUGGUGACGUUCCUGUCCAGGGUGUCCUCUGGAUCAAAACAGAAGCCACAAAUGAAGAAAACCAUGAAACUGAAGGGAGAAGUGAAAUGAAUCAUUUCUCUUUGGACUCAAGGGGCACACAAGCGAAGGUUCUAUCUAUCUAUAUAUCUAUCUAUUAUUGAUGCGUAACAUUCGACUUGGUGGCCAUGUUGUUGCAGGAUAACCAAGUAAUCCGUCUCCUCGCGGCGACCUAAUUGUUCCCCUCUUCUCUGAAUAGGCUUCUCUCAUUAAACACAAUCUGGCAGGAAUAUACACAGGAAUCCCAAACUCUCAGACUGAUCUAUAAUUCAUGAGCGCAGCGCAGACGCUCCACUGACCCAAUUACAGGCAGCCGGCAGGAGAGCAGCACCUGUACUGUGGAUGGCGCCGCUGGUUCAGUCAAAUGUAGCCAGACAAACAGCAUCAGCUGAAGAGUCAGAGCCUCCUGCACCGCUCAACUGCUGUGAGAAGAUACGAUGAGAUCAUGAGAAAAAAGCACCGGAAUAAAAGUGGUGAUGUAGAGCAAAAUGUCAUGUAAUAAAGACAGUUAUAUAUUUUAGUGCUGUACACAUAAUAAACAUGACCUGUUGUGAAAGUCGAGCUGUAAAGUUAUAAAGCAAAGAUAAUGAAUUCAGGGUUAAAAUGAAUGAAACGAAUGGUCAAAAAGUCACAGCAAAAUUAAAUAAAGAUUUCAUAUUUAAAGAGUAGAAUAGCCUUUUUAAAUAAAAGUUGUGCAUUUUUCAAUAUUUGGCGUUUAAAGCAUUCAAUUAGAACCGUGUUAUUAAACCUAAAAAGAAGAUAGUUUAAUAAAAUGUCGAAUAAAAUAAAUUCGGUGUGUUCUGACUUGUAUCUAGCGAUUCAUCCGCUGACAUGUGGGACUAUAUUUAUAAUGAAUUAAAAAAAAUGUUAAAAAAGCAUUGCUUCAAUACUAGAUAUCGCCAGCAGAUGUCGACAUUGCAGCAGAAACGCCCGAGGAGCGCGACUCAUCCUGUGACGUCGCAAAGGUUUGAAAAUAAUGUACGCAGUAAAUACAUAUAGACGUAACUGAAAACGUUGAUGUUGAAGUAAAAGUACCACAGCAAAGCAAUGUAGAUGUGACUUGCGAAACACAAACAGAGGAAUACAAGACUAAACAAGUCAAUUUUGCAGCUUCACUGCACGCAGGUCUCCGGUUCAAAUCCAGUUUGGAGUGAACCUGUGGUCUUUAUGUCUUCAUUUGUCUCUAACAGUGUGCGAGAGUGGUUGCCUCUGAGGGUGACCUAUAGGGGUCCUCACCUCUCACCUCAAGUGGCUCAGCAGGUGUCAAGUGCGACCUUGUGAAGGAGACAAGUUGACAAAUGUGUCCAUUUGUGCCCUUUGACUCUUGAGCAAGGUGGUCAUAAUGUUGAGGUCAAGAGAUGAAGCAGCAGGAGUCGAUAGAAAGUGGCACAAUGGAGAACUGAUUGAGUGAGAACAAUGUUGAAGGACAAGAUUCCAGGGGCCGCCAGACUUGAUGAUGUUCCUCAGCACCAAAAUAAACCUGCUGACAGGCCCAGGCUGGAGCUGCAGCCCCGCCCCCAUUCUGUAGACACUGUGUACUGAUGCUAAUGUGUCUAAAGU
Molecule: long non-coding RNA, 11056 nt
Organism: Synchiropus splendidus (mandarinfish)
Lineage: Eukaryota; Metazoa; Chordata; Actinopteri; Syngnathiformes; Callionymidae
Exons: 3
Source: RefSeq, a predicted model, not a curated record